RNAcentral lists this non-coding RNA (27 nucleotides) under Cricetulus griseus (Chinese hamster). Lineage: Eukaryota; Metazoa; Chordata; Mammalia; Rodentia; Cricetidae. The record is from RNAcentral.
UUUGUAGAAUGAGUUCAACGUCAGUCU